UACGUAGGGUGCAAGCGUUUGUCCGGAAUUAUUGGGCGUAAAGAGCUCGUAGGCGGUCUGUCGCGUCUGCUGUGAAAACCCGAGGCCCAACCUCGGGCCUGCAGUGGGUACGGGCAGGCUAGAGUGCGGGUAGGGGAGAAUGGAACUCCUGGUGUAGCGGUGGAAUGCGCAGAUAUCAGGAAGAACACCGAUGGCGAAGGCAGUUCUCUGGGCCGUAACUGACGCUGAGGAGCGAAAGC
RNAcentral lists this ribosomal RNA (239 nucleotides) under uncultured bacterium. Its description in RNAcentral is "partial 16S ribosomal RNA". It matches the Rfam family "Bacterial small subunit ribosomal RNA", at positions 524 to 760 of the family's 1533-position model. The record is from RNAcentral.